GCAAGUCGGACGGUAACAUAGGAGCUUGCUCCUGAUGACGAGUGGCGGACGGGCGAGUAACGCGUAGGAAUCUGCCUAUAAGAGGGGGACAACCAUUGGAAACGAUGGCUAAUACCGCAUGUUGCCUACGGGUAAAAUAGUGGCUUCGGCUGCUGCUUAUAGAUGAGCCUGCGUUAGAUUAGCUAGAUGGUGAGGUAAAGGCUCACCAUGGCUACGAUCUAUAGCUGUUCUGAGAGGAAGAUC
This 243-nucleotide ribosomal RNA is filed under the name uncultured bacterium. RNAcentral's name for it is "partial 16S ribosomal RNA". It matches the Rfam family "Bacterial small subunit ribosomal RNA", at positions 57 to 305 of the family's 1533-position model. The record is from RNAcentral.